This 465-nucleotide ribosomal RNA is filed under the name uncultured bacterium. Its description in RNAcentral is "partial 16S ribosomal RNA". It matches the Rfam family "Bacterial small subunit ribosomal RNA", at positions 339 to 795 of the family's 1533-position model. The record is from RNAcentral.
CUACGGGCCGCUCCAGUGGGGAAUAUUGGACAAUGGGGGAAACCCUGAUCCAGCAAUGCCGCGUGUGUGAAGAAGGCCUGCGGGUUGUAAAGCACUUUCGGUUGGGAGGACUGCUUCUAGCACUAAUAUUGUUGGAAGUUGACGUUACCUUCAGAAGAAGCACCGGCUAACUCCGUGCCAGCAGCCGCGGUAAUACGGAGGGUGUAAGCGUUAAUCGGAAUUACUGGGCGUAAAGCGCGCGUAGGCGGCUAGAUCAGUCGGGUGUGAAAGCCCCGGGCUUAACCUGGGAACUGCAUCCGAUACUGUCUAGCUUGAGUACAGGAGAGGAGAGUGGAAUUCCACAUGUAGCGGUGAUAUGCGUAGAUAUGUGGAGGAACACCAAUGGCGAAGGCAGCUCUCUGGCCUGAUACUGACGCUGAGGUGUGAAAGCGUGGGGAGCAAACAGGAUUAGAUACCCGUGUAGUC